ACGGGAGGCAGCAGUGGGGAAUAUUGGGCAAUGGGCGAAAGCCUGACCCAGCGACGCCGCGUGAAGGAAGACGGUCCUCGGAUUGUAAACUUCUUUUAUAAGGGACGAUAGUGACGGUACCUUAUGAAUAAGCCACGGCUAACUACGUGCCAGCAGCCGCGGUAAUACGUAGGUGGCGAGCGUUAUCCGGAUUUACUGGGUGUAAAGGGUGUGUAGGCGGGACUGCAAGUCAGAUGUGAAAAUCACGGGCUCAACUCGUGACCUGCAUUUGAAACUGUGGUUCUUGAGGGUCGGAGAGGUAACUGGAAUUCCUGGUGUAGCGGUGAAAUGCGUAGAUAUCAGGAGGAACACCGGUGGCGAAGGCGGGUUACUGGACGAUUACUGACGCUGAGACACGAAAGCGUGGGGAGCAAACAGGAUUAGAUACCCUGGUA
The sequence is a ribosomal RNA, 434 nucleotides long. It matches the Rfam family "Bacterial small subunit ribosomal RNA", at positions 341 to 792 of the family's 1533-position model.